Small nuclear RNA from Manis pentadactyla (Chinese pangolin), 106 nucleotides. The record is from RefSeq and is a predicted model, not a curated record. NCBI's taxonomy places the organism in Eukaryota, Metazoa, Chordata, Mammalia, Pholidota, Manidae.
GUGCUGGCUUUAGCAGUACAUGCACUAAAAUUGAAAAAAUACAGAGAAGAUCAUCAGGCUACCUGCACAAGAGGACAUUCAAAUUUGUCAAGUGUUCCAUAUUUUU